GCCUUAUAGGAUCUUGAGCAUGGGUGUG
Molecule: non-coding RNA, 28 nt
Filed under: Rattus norvegicus (Norway rat)
Lineage: Eukaryota; Metazoa; Chordata; Mammalia; Rodentia; Muridae
Source: RNAcentral